Long non-coding RNA from Paramisgurnus dabryanus, 1215 nucleotides. RefSeq lists it as uncharacterized. The record is from RefSeq and is a predicted model, not a curated record. Lineage: Eukaryota; Metazoa; Chordata; Actinopteri; Cypriniformes; Cobitidae.
UACUGUAGUUUGCAAUGAAUUGUGGGAGCAUGCUAAAUGCAAAUUUUACAGUUAUGUCUGCAAUACUGUAUUUUUGAAAUAGGCUAAUAUGUAAAUGCUACAGGACAACAUGUAAUGACACUUAUUAUUUUAUUUUAUGUAUUUAUUUAAAAAGUCAGCUGUGGCACUAGUUUGGAAAUAAAAGCUUUGGCACUUUACAAUAACUGCAAUAAAUGCAGCCUAUUAAAUGAAUUAUAAACAUUCAUGUAGAUUCUGAUAAUGUACAUAUCUUUGUCAAAAAUGUUUGAUAAGAAACACAUUUAGACAACAUGUGUGCGUAGCGCAGUACGUGUGAUGUCACGACGUCAUCAGCAAAUUUGCGCCCGGUGCACAUGCGCAUUGCGAGUUUGCGCAGACAGGUGUCUACGGUCGGAGUGGAAUGAAGAAGUUGCAUCUGAUAAUUCUUCCAUUGUGUAGCAGCAACUGCAGCUGACAUGGAAUGAGGAUUAUCGGAUUCACCUCUCACUGAUCAUCCAAGGUGAAUUGAUGACCUCAAGCAAAUGGAUGUUGUCAUCUGAAGAGAAGGUUGUCCUGGGCCCAUGUUUAGAGGCAUUUGGGGCAUAUCUGACACAUAUCACAAUCAAGCUGCAUGCACACUUGAGUUUAUUCAGAGAGAAGUUGUGGGCAUCAGUCCGGAAACUGGAUAAAAAAUUUGCUGCUGGAAUGUGAGACAAAUAAAGGCAUGGAAUGAACCCAAAUGUAUGAACACUGCUACGAAAACUAAUGGACUUUGAAUGGCUUGUUAGUUAAGUCCAAUGGAAUUGAAGAAGAGACUCUGACAAGAUUUUCAAGUUUGUGUUUAAUUUAAAAGUUUAUCUUCAUAGAUAAGCAAUUUAAAGGUAGGCACAGUUAAAACUAUUUCUUGUGUGUUUGUUUAAACUGUAAAUUUAUGACUGAAGUUUGGUCACUAUGUAGUAAUGUGUUCCUUUGUGGUUAAUUAAAUGCUGCAGUGCUUAGUGGUAUUCGUUGUUGUAUUUCCAAGGCUAAAGCCUUAUUUUGUGAUCUGCAUUGUAUUGGAGAGUUUUGGAAACUAAUACUUAUUAUCUUAAUGCAUUGGAAAGUUUUGGACUAUUGAACAAUAAAUGCAUUUGGCUACAUCUGUGAUUUUCUGUUAUUUUAAGUGUUUUAGUUUACAUUACAUUAAAUGAUUUAUCACAGCAGUUAAAAAAAAUUACA